This is a long non-coding RNA of Oncorhynchus tshawytscha (Chinook salmon), 345 nucleotides long. The record is from Ensembl. Lineage: Eukaryota; Metazoa; Chordata; Actinopteri; Salmoniformes; Salmonidae.
GUGCAGUAUAGGUUAGGGUUAUGAGUCGUUCAGUGUAGGUCAGGGUUAUGAGUCGUUUAGUGCAGUAUAGGUUAGGGUUAUGAGUCGUUCAGUAUAGGUUAGGGUUAUGAGUCGUUCAGUAUAGGUUAGGGUUAUGAGUCGUUCAGUGCAGUAUAGGUUAGGGUUAUGAGUCGUUCAGUAUAGGUUAGGGUUAUGUGUCGUUCGGUAUAGGUUAGGGUUAUGAGUCGUUCAGUGCAGUAUAGGUUAGGGUAAUGAGUCAUUCAGUGCAAUAUAGGUUAGGGUUAUGAGUCGUUCAGUGCAGUAUAGGUUAGGGUAAUGAGUCAUUCAGUGCAGUAUAGGUUAGGG